GAAUCUUGCGCAAUGGGCGAAAGCCUGACGCAGCCAUGCCGCGUGAAUGAUGAAGGUCUUAGGAUUGUAAAAUUCUUUCACCGGGGACGAUAAUGACGGUACCCGGAGAAGAAGCCCCGGCUAAUUUCGUACCAGCAGCCGCAGUAAUACGAAGGGGGCUAGCUUUGCUCGGAAUUACCUGGCGUAAAGCGCGCGUUGGCGGUUCGGUACGUCAGGGGUGAAAUCCCAGGGCUCAACCCUGGAACUGCCUUUGAUACUGGCGAUCUUGAGUAUGAGAGAGAUAUGUGGAACUCCGAGUGUAGAGGUGAAAUUCGUAGAUAUUCGGAAGAACACCAGUGGCGAAGGCGACAUACUGGCUCAUUACUGACGCUGAGGCGCGAAAGCGUGGGGAGCAAACA
This 398-nucleotide ribosomal RNA is filed under the name uncultured bacterium. Its description in RNAcentral is "partial 16S ribosomal RNA". It matches the Rfam family "Bacterial small subunit ribosomal RNA", at positions 359 to 774 of the family's 1533-position model. The record is from RNAcentral.